RNAcentral lists this transfer RNA (85 nucleotides) under Vibrio parahaemolyticus. RNAcentral describes it as "tRNA-Leu". It matches the Rfam family "tRNA". Rfam says of the family: Transfer RNA (tRNA) molecules are approximately 80 nucleotides in length. Their secondary structure includes four short double-helical elements and three loops (D, anti-codon, and T loops). The record is from RNAcentral. Lineage: Bacteria; Pseudomonadati; Pseudomonadota; Gammaproteobacteria; Vibrionales; Vibrionaceae.
GCGGAAGUGGCGGAAUUGGUAGACGCACCAGAUUUAGGUUCUGGCGCCGCAAGGUGUGAGAGUUCAAGUCUCUCCUUCCGAACCC